Long non-coding RNA from Pristis pectinata (smalltooth sawfish), 2956 nucleotides. RefSeq lists it as uncharacterized. The record is from RefSeq and is a predicted model, not a curated record. Lineage: Eukaryota; Metazoa; Chordata; Chondrichthyes; Rhinopristiformes; Pristidae. The transcript is spliced from 6 exons.
UAAAUGAAUGCAUGUUGCAAAUCAGGAAUUGGGGUACACGGAUCCGGGACCCCGGAAUGGGAUGGUGAGGCUGUGCUCCACAAACGAGCGUGGAGAAUUACUGCGACGUUGUUCGCUGCCGGACCAACGAGGAGCGGCUGUCGGUUGAGAGCACCAAGCGGGGUAUCCGCAGUGCGGCCGCCUGCUACGUGUGUCGGGUCAGCGGGCGGCUGUGGGACCGGCACCGGGACAGCGGGCGGCUGGCGGUGGUGGACGAGCAGCGGCGUGGAGACAUCAUCAGCCGCCACCACUCCCGGGACCUGAUCGGCACCAAUGUCAGCAGUGGCUACUGGUGGAGGGGAAGGAUCUUUCAUCACUGAAGAGACAUGCCCCUGAAGAAUGCAGGUCCAGUUCUGGUGGUUUGAAACAUAGGCAAAUAAGUACUACGUCUGGGAAACUGAGCCACAGCCUUCAAAAGCCUAAGAUGCACGAACUGAACCAUGGUGGGAGCAAACCACGUUAAUACAUGAUCUGUAACAAGUCUUUCGCUGACAUGCACAUCUUGAAGCUUCACAUGUAAUAUCAACAAGGUUCAGAGGACUAUCAUUGAAUUUUGUGGAAAAGAAUAUUUCAAUGCCAGCUCAUUGUGGAACCACAAACUUGUUCAUUCAGAUGAGCUGUGGCAUUACUGCCUAUUGUGUGGAAAGAGAUUUAAAAUGCGUUCAGGGUAUACCCGUCAUAAGAAAAAACAUCACUUGAAAAAAGAGGAGAACUUCCCCUUUAAUGAGUGCAAUACAUGUGGUAAAGAGUUUUGUAACUGCAAACAGACGAAAAGCACAAUGUGAAGUCAGACCGCGAAUCAGUCAAAGAGCAGAGUGCAUUUGUGAGCACCCUAACAAGGACUUUUUCAUUUAGGUACUUCAUUGGGAUUUUAAUCAUUCUACCAUUCGUGUUGGCGGCUUUUGGUUCCCAAGACAUUAAGAGCUGGAUCUGGAUCCUUAAAUGUCUCUCUCCUCUUUUUAAGAUGUUUCUUUAACGGUUGCCUCUCUGACAGGUUUUUGGUUGUCUGUCCUUGUAUUUCUUUGUGACUCAAAUCAUCAUCAUGUUCCUAUGAAUGCCUUUAUGUUUGACCAUGUUGAAGGUAUUACAUGAAUUCAAAUUGUUAGUUGCUUCAUGGUAAAUGAUAAACUUCUAUCUUGAUUAAACACAACAUGUACGCUUUUUUUAGUCUAUCAUUUCCAGAAUGUACAUGAAUGAAUGAAUUUCAAUUCUGUGGAAAUGCAUCCUGUUUGAACUGUUUGUUACAAUCUUGUUAACUUGCAUUUUCUUUCAAAGACUUGAGACUCCAAGACCCUUUUGCUCCUCUACUAUGUUCAGACUUUCAAUUUUUGAGAGAGCACGUGUUCCUCCCAUUAAGCACACAACUUUGCACUUCUCUAUAUGGAAUUUAAUUUGCCAGGUGCAUAGUCAUUCAUAAAGCUUUUUGUAUGCUGUUGAAGUCCUCUUUUUGUAUUAAAUAUACCCCUAGAAUUGGGUUUCAUCUGCAUAUUUGAAAUAGUCUUCAUGAGUCUAUGAUUUCCAGCUCAAAAAUAAUUUAUGGGAAUGGUGAAGAGUGGCAGAAUCAAACAUCAUAUCUCACAUUAUUGCUAAUCCAGAUACCUACCAUCAUCCCUAUACUCUUCUGCAAGCAGCUUGCUGUCCAUUCUACACUUUGUCCAUUGUCUCUGUGUGUUCUGAGACGAUCUCAGCAAAUAAUGAUGGCCUUGUAUAGUUUUUGAAAUGACAUCAUCUUUUACAUCAGCAUGGCUUUGUGCAGGUCAAGUCGUGCUUUACUAACUUCAUUGAGUGAUGAGGUGACAAGGGUGAUUGAUGAAGGUAGAACUGUAGAUGUUGUCUACAUGGAUUUUAGUAAGGCGUUUGACAAGGUCUCUCAUGGGAGGCUCAUCCAGAAGAUUAAGAUGCAUAGGAUCCACGGUGAAUUGGCUGUUUGGAUUCAGAACUGGCUUGCCCAUAGAAGACAGAGGGUAGUGGUCAAGGGGACUUAUUCUAGCUGGAGGUCUGUGACUAGUGGUGUUCCUCAGGGAUCCGUACUAGGAUCUCUGCUGUUUGUGAUUUAUAUAAAUGACCUGGAUGAAAAUGUACAUGGGUGGGCUCGUAAAUUUGCAGAUGAUACGAAGAAUGGUGUGGAUAGCGUAGAAGACUGGCAAAGGAUACAGCAGGAUAUAGAUCAGUUGCAGAUAUGGGCGGAGAAAUGGCAGGUGGAGUUCAACCCGACCAAAUGUGAGGUGUUGCACCUUGGCAGAUCAAAUGUAAAGAGACAGUACACUGUUAAUGACAAGACCCUUAACAGUGUUGAUAAGCAAAGGGAUCUUGGGGUCCAAGUUCAUAGCUCCCUGUAAGUGGCUACACAGGUUGAUAGGUAUCUUUUCCCCAGGUUUGAAAUGUCCAAUAUCAGAGGACAUGCACUUAAGGUGAUAGGCGGUAAGUUCAAAGGAGAUGUGCAAGGCAAGUUUUUUUUUUACACAGAGUGGUGGGUGCCUGGAAUGUGCUGCCUGGGGUGGUGGUGGAGGCAAAUACGAUAGGGGCCAUUCAAGAAGCUCUUAGAUAGGCACAUGAAUGUGAGGGAAAUGGUAGGAUAUGGACAUUGUGUCGGCAGAAGGGAUUAGUUGGGCAUUUUAUUACUAAUGUAAUUGGUUUGGCACAACAUUGUGGGCCGAAGGGCCUGUUCCUGUGCUGUACUGUUCUAUGUAUCUUUAACUGAGCCAAAAAUGACGGUUUUUGUUAGGCUGGGAGUAGAUGCAAAAAUUAUCAGUUCAUGUUUUUGUUUAUGAUAUGUGGCAAUUAACCAGUAAUAACAAAGUGUAUGCUUUUCUUGUACUUGUGUUUUAACAAUGAUGUGUAUUUUGAACUUUUUUUCUACCUGUAAUUUGUAUGACAAAUAGUUUUACAUUUUAAAAUAAAAAAAGGAAUGACUGCA